ACACCUAUGAGCACUUGUUAGCGCCAGUGCUUUAAGGACUACUCUUCCAAAGUGUGAUUUUCUAAGACCACUGGAACCUAUUCAAGCAAUGGAUUCCUUACAGGGACACUUGUCAUAAAAAGCUGACCCCCCUCUGACAAGGUUCAGUGACUGACGUGCCCAAAGGAACUCAUGAUAAGGAAAUUCCAAGGCACAAGGGAACAUCAUGAUGAGCUUUGUCUAUAAUUAGGAUGAAUGGCCCUUCCACCAUGAAAAACGGGAAGUGCUCCAGAUCAUUUUCAUGAAAUGAAUCAGGCCAUAAAAUAUGGACUCUGCUGUGCCAUUUGGAAGACAUCCAGAUAAAACCUUGAUCCAAGAAACCCAGGAGUGUGAUUUUCCGCAAAUGUGUGUGGCCGUCUUCAGACUCAACACAAAGCCAUUCCACAUGGUGAAGGUCUGUGCUGAAAGGAAAGAACUUGCUUCUCAUAAUGUUAUGGGCCUCGAGUACAUGGAAGAGGAUGGAAAUGACUGGGAGACAGAAGACAAGCCAUGCACAAGUCAGGGACAAACUCUGAUCCUGGAUCCCCAUCAGAAGAGUGGAGAAGAGGAGAGAACGCUUUUCUUUGUAAAACAUUUACUUUUAUUUACCUGUUUGGAGUCCUUGUCCAACUCAAAUUACGCAGUAGAAUUAGGUCAUCUGUAA
Long non-coding RNA from Monodelphis domestica (gray short-tailed opossum), 682 nucleotides. Lineage: Eukaryota; Metazoa; Chordata; Mammalia; Didelphimorphia; Didelphidae. The record is from Ensembl.